This is a non-coding RNA of Marmota monax (woodchuck), 540 nucleotides long. The record is from the annotation of a RefSeq genome assembly. Lineage: Eukaryota; Metazoa; Chordata; Mammalia; Rodentia; Sciuridae.
CAGCUCACUGCCCUGAGGACUUCUUAAGAGGCUGCUUACACCCUGUGCAGGAGUCAGUCCCUGUGAGGACACAGCAUGGCCAUGAGGGCCCCUGCUCAGCUCCUGGGGCUCCUGCUGCUCUGCCUCCCAGGUAUAAGAUGUGACAUCCAGAUGACCCAGUCUCCAUCCUCUCUGACUGCAUCUCAAGGAGACAGCGUCACCAUCACUUGCCAGGCAAGUGAGAAUGUUUACAACUAUGUUGCCUGGUAUCAGAAGAAACAAGAGCAAGCUCCUAAGCUACUCAUCUAUGCUGCAAGCAAUUUGCAAUCUGGGGUCCCCUCGAGGUUCAGUGGCAGUGGAUAUGGGACAGAUUUCACUCUCACCAUCAGCAGCCUGGAGAAUGAAGAUGUUGCCACUUAUUACUGUCAGCAGUAUUACAGUUCCCCACCCACAGUGACACAGGCACCAGGAGGUGAAAAGCUUUUCUCAUCCAUGCCCUUCUGCCAUGGGCGUCACUGUGGGAGCAGAGGAAAGCAUUCUGACAUCCGUGACCUGAAGUGA